AACUCGCUGUGAAGAUGCAGUGUACCCGCGGCAAGACGGAAAGACCCCGUGAACCUUUACUAUAGCUUGACACUGAACAUUGAGCCUUGAUGUGUAGGAUAGGUGGGAGGCUUUGAAGUGUGGACGCCAGUCUGCAUGGAGCCGACCUUGAAAUACCACCCUUUAAUGUUUGAUGUUCUAACGUGGACCCGUUACCCGGGUUGCGGACAGUGUCUGGUGGGUAGUUUGACUGGGGCGGUCUCCUCCUAAAGAGUAACGGAGGAGCACGAAGGUUGGCUAAUCCUGGUCGGACAUCAGGAGGUUAGUGCAAUGGCAUAAGCCAGCUUGACUGCGAGCGUGACGGCGCGAGCAGGUGCGAAAGCAGGUCAUAGUGAUCCGGUGGUUCUGAAUGGAAGGGCCAUCGCUCAACGGAUAAAAGGUACUCCGGGGAUAACAGGCUGAUACCGCCCAAGAGUUCAUAUCGACGGCGGUGUUUGGCACCUCGAUGUCGGCUCAUCACAUCCUGGGGCUGAAGUAGGUCCCAAGGGUAUGGCUGUUCGCCAUUUAAAGUGGUACGCGAGCUGGGUUUAGAACGUCGUGAGACAGUUCGGUCCCUAUCUGCCGUGGGCGCUGGAGAACUGAGGGGGGCUGCUCCUAGUACGAGAGGACCGGAGUGGACGCAUCACUGGUGUUCGGGUUGUCAUGCCAAUGGCACUGCCCGGUAGCUAAAUGCGGAAGAGAUAAGUGCUGAAAGCAUCUAAGCACGAAACUUGCCCCGAGAUGAGUUCUCCCUGAGACUUAGAGUCUCCUGAAGGAACGUUGAAGACGACGACGUUGAUAGGCCGGGUGUGUAAGCGCAGCGAUGCGUUGAGCUAACCGGUACUAAUGAACCGUGAGGCUUAACCUUACAACGCCGAAG
This 898-nucleotide ribosomal RNA is filed under the name Salmonella enterica. RNAcentral's name for it is "partial 23S ribosomal RNA". It matches the Rfam family "Bacterial large subunit ribosomal RNA", at positions 2045 to 2925 of the family's 2925-position model. Lineage: Bacteria; Pseudomonadati; Pseudomonadota; Gammaproteobacteria; Enterobacterales; Enterobacteriaceae. The record is from RNAcentral.